CCGAGGGCAGCGGGGGCUGCGCGAUACGCUACCCGCUGCGGGAAGGACUAAACCCGGGGCCGCUGCGGCUACAGCGGGCCGCGCCAAUGGCCGAGGGACACGGACUGUCCCCGGAGAACAAAUGCUGCGAGUCUCUAGGGGAAGGGGAGAGCAGACUCUCCCCCUCCCCCUUCCCCUUCCCGGGACAGACCCCCUACGGGUGCCUGCCCCGCCCAGCCCAAGCCACAGCAGGAGCCGGCAGCCGCCUGCCCCGGAGCAGCUUUGCAAGCUUGGGGGAGGGGGGCAGGGCUGGCGGGCGGGGAGGCAGCGCCUGGGCUAAAGAGCGGAGCAGCCGGGCUUUGGGAGGGCGCCGGAGCAGCCGGCUCCGCUCGGGGCGCGGGACUCCUCAGCCCCACCCGGAGCGCCCCCCGGCCGCCCGUACAAAGGCGGAGACGCGCUCGCCCCCAGCGCUCCGCACAAUCCGCAGAGGAGCCGGUUUCACCCGCGCCCCCGGCUCGGGGCAGGGCUGCGGCGCGGCGGUGUUAAGGGAGCUCAGCAGCCGCGGGGUCAUUUGGAAAAGGCUCUCUGAGGUUCCCCCCUUUGUGCGGCGGGCACUGGGGGACGGGUUAUGCACAGGGCUCCAGAGCCCGGCUAAUCCCAGGGUAAAUAUAAACAGCCUAGGCCGGAGAGUCCCCCAGGUAACGCCACAAUUUCCCUCCACAUCUGGGCGGCUACGAAUUCACAGGCCAUUUCCCCCUGUUUAUAUGUACCAGACCACAGCCAGGAGGGGAAACCCACCAAUAAAAGCGGCGUUUUUCUUAUCCCGAAGUAGCCAGUCUCUGUUUCUGCAAACGGAGAGGGAAGCGCCUUGCAUCCAAAUUGCUCGCUUUGUAAUAUCCUCGUUUUCCGUGCCUCGCAGAUAAACACCAAAGCGUAUCCGGAAUGGGGUGCUGCAGACCCAAACCAGCAUUGCACAGGCCACUGGAACCAACUGACACUCCGCUUUGUAAAUCGCUUCAAAAUUCAACUCGUUUUCCCAACCCAGACAACACUGGGAGUUCUAGGCGUGUGCAUCCCCCCGGAAGUCACUGGACAGCGCUUUUCUUUAAAGCUAGUUGUUUUUAACAGGACUCCUCAUAAUUAAGCUCCGCCUUUGCUCUUAAAUUAAGAGCUGACUAGAGCGGAGUAAAUAUUGGCCACUCUCCCACAUGCUUUCCACGAGAACGGGACCACUAGCUUCGAAAGCAGAGCUCUUUAGAGAAGCAUCAAAGAAAGGACACUCCUACAAGCAUGGGAUUCAAUGCUUAAAAAUACACUGCCGCGGUUAGAUUUGGCAAGACAAAAUGAAAACGGCUAAAAGACUCUGGACGUUAUAAACGCGGGACCUGUCGAUAUCUCCAUAACAUUUACUCUAAAAUCCCAUUAAGUACAAAGGAAGUACAACUCAGUGUAGGUACUAGGGUGUUCGCCUCCACUCCAGAUUUUAAGAGCUAUGCAAAU
This is a long non-coding RNA of Mauremys reevesii (Reeves's turtle), 1479 nucleotides long. RefSeq lists it as uncharacterized. The record is from RefSeq and is a predicted model, not a curated record. Lineage: Eukaryota; Metazoa; Chordata; Testudines; Geoemydidae. The transcript has 3 exons.